GCCGAGGUGGCGAAAUGGUAUACGCGCAACGUUGAGGUCGUUGUGGGGGCAACCCUGUAAGAGUUCGAGUCUCUUUCUCGGCA
Molecule: transfer RNA, 83 nt
Filed under: Armatimonadota bacterium
Lineage: Bacteria; Bacillati; Armatimonadota
Description: tRNA-Leu
Rfam family: tRNA
About the family: Transfer RNA (tRNA) molecules are approximately 80 nucleotides in length.
Source: RNAcentral